This 505-nucleotide ribosomal RNA is filed under the name uncultured bacterium. RNAcentral's name for it is "partial 16S ribosomal RNA". It matches the Rfam family "Bacterial small subunit ribosomal RNA", at positions 28 to 523 of the family's 1533-position model. The record is from RNAcentral.
GAUGAACGCUAGCUACAGGCUUAACACAUGCAAGUCGAGGGGUAACGAGAGGAAAGCUUGCUUUCCUUGUCGACGACCGGCGCACGGGUGAUUAACGCGUAUCCAACCUGCCCCCAACUAGGGAAUAACCUUGCGAAAGUAAGACUAAUACCCUAUAAUUUCCUCCGAUGCCAUCUGACGAGGAAUAAAGAUUGAUCGGUUGUGGAUGGGGAUGCGGCUGAUUAGCUUGUUGGCGGGGUAACGGCCCACCAAGGCAACGAUCAGUAGGGGUUCUGAGAGGAAGGUCCCCCACAUUGGAACUGAGACACGGUCCAACUCCUACGGGAGGCAGCAGUGAGGAAUAUUGGUCAAUGGGCGGAAGCCUGAACCAGCCAAGUAGCGUGCAGGAUGACGGCCCUAUGGGUUGUAAACUGCUUUUAUACAGGAAUAAAGUUAGCCACGUGUGGUUAUUUGUAGGUACUGUAUGAAUAAGGACCGGCUAAUUCCGUGCCAGCCGCCGCCGUAA